AUGGACGCCUCCGACGAGCUCCGGUCGCUGGAGGCCACGGGGAUCUACCGCCUCGCAGGCUCUCCCGCCGCCUUCGUCGACCCGGUGCGCCUCCUCGGCGAAUCCUACCGGCGCUUCCGCCUCGUCCCGUCGGCGUACUACUCCCGAAGCUUCGGCCCGUCGCGGCAGGGAGGCGAAGGGACGGCGCCGUCUCCCGACCGGAAGAAGCGCAAGCGGAAGCGCCAGCCGAAGCCCCGGGAACUCAACGCCGUGGAGCGGAUCGCAGAAGCGCGGCACCAGGAAGCAAGGCCUUUGCUAAUUAGGGCCCAUAAUUCACUCCUCGAGACGAAAGAUCUACUGGAAUUCCUUCCGGGGAUGAUCAAGGGAGAUGAAUGCCUGCCAAAUGUUGAAACUAGUUCUGAGAACAAUUUUGUUGAGCUUGGGGCCUCAUGGCGAGCACCUUUCUACGAGAUGACUAUCUGCUUUCAGAAGCCUCUUGGUCAGGUCAAGGCAGGUACCUGCAAUGUCCAAAAGAGAUCCAGUCCAUUAUUUAAUAGGAUAGUCAGUGUUGAAGAAAACGAUGAGGCAGAAGGAGAAUUUCAGAGUAGACUUUAUAUUUUACCAAAAGGAAGUUGCUUCAUGAUGACUGACUUCACACAUGUUCGUGAUCUCAUUCCUGAUAAUCCUAAUAUAGGGUACAACCUUAUAGUUAUUGACCCACCUUGGGAGAAUGGAUGUGUUCGCCAGAAAGAAGUGUAUCCUACACUUCCCAAUAGAAAUUUGUUGUAUCUUCCAGUUCAAGAACUUGCACAUCCAGCUGGAGCUCUUCUAGUUUUGUGGAUUACAAAUCGGGAGAAACUGCGAAGAUUUGUUGAGGAAGAAUUGCUUCCAUCUUGGGGGGUCAAAGACCCCACGGAGUUUUAUUGGCUGAAGGUGAAGUCGGAUGGUUCACUGAUUGGCGAUCUAGACUUGUUCCAUCACAGGCCUUAUGAGUGUCUCCUUCUUGGCUACAUCAACGUUAAUAGAGAAGCUGAGUCAGGAUCGAAGUUUAAGGUUCUACAAGGCAGCCAAGUAAUUAUGAGUGUUCCGGGUGCACACUCAAGGAAACCUCCUCUUCAGAAAAUUCUUUCAGAAUAUAUUCCUGGUCCGAAGCCUCCAAGGUGCAUAGAGCUUUUUGCAAGAGAAUUGGGUUCCGGAUGGACCUCGUGGGGAAACGAGCCGCUCCAUUUCCAGGAUUCAAUGUACUUUUCAAAGAAGUAA
This 1239-nucleotide ribosomal RNA is filed under the name Triticum aestivum (bread wheat). Its description in RNAcentral is "partial small subunit ribosomal RNA". The record is from RNAcentral. Lineage: Eukaryota; Viridiplantae; Streptophyta; Magnoliopsida; Poales; Poaceae.